Molecule: ribosomal RNA, 254 nt
Filed under: uncultured bacterium
Lineage: Bacteria
Description: partial 16S ribosomal RNA
Rfam family: Bacterial small subunit ribosomal RNA
Source: RNAcentral
UACGUAGGGCGCAAGCGUUGUCCGGAAUUAUUGGGCGUAAAGAGCUCGUAGGCGGUUUGUCGCGUCUGCCGUGAGAACCCGAGGCUUAACCUCGUGGCUUGCGGUGGAUACGGGCAGACUAGAGGUAGGUAGGGGAGAAUGGAAUUCCCGGUGUAGCGGUGAAAUGCGCAGAUAUCGGGAGGAACACCGGUGGCGAAGGCGGUUCUCUGGGCCUUACCUGACGCUGAGGAGCGAAAGCGUGGGGAGCGAACAGG